Molecule: ribosomal RNA, 497 nt
Filed under: uncultured bacterium
Lineage: Bacteria
Description: partial 16S ribosomal RNA
Rfam family: Bacterial small subunit ribosomal RNA
Source: RNAcentral
GAUGAACGCUGGCGGCGUGCCUAAUACAUGCAAGUAGAACGCUGAAGGAAGGAGCUUGCUCUUUCCGGAUGAGUUGCGAACGGGUGAGUAACGCGUAGGUAACCUGCCUGGUAGCGGGGGAUAACUAUUGGAAACGAUAGCUAAUACCGCAUAACAGUAGAUAUUGCAUGAUAUCUGCUUGAAAGGGGCAAUUGCUCCACUACCAGAUGGACCUGCGUUGUAUUAGCUAGUUGGUGAGGUAACGGCUCACCAAGGCGACGAUACAUAGCCGACCUGAGAGGGUGAUCGGCCACGCUGGGACUGAGACACGGCCCAGACUCCUACGGGAGGCAGCAGUAGGGAAUCUUCGGCAAUGGACGGAAGUCUGACCGAGCAACGCCGCGUGAGUGAAGAAGGUUUUCGGAUCGUAAAGCUCUGUUGUAAGAGAAGAACGAGUGUGAGAGUGGAAAGUUCACACUGUGACGGUAUCUUACCAGAAAGGGACGGCUAACUACGUG